This is a long non-coding RNA of Meriones unguiculatus (Mongolian gerbil), 477 nucleotides long. RefSeq lists it as uncharacterized. The transcript is spliced from 2 exons. Lineage: Eukaryota; Metazoa; Chordata; Mammalia; Rodentia; Muridae. The record is from RefSeq and is a predicted model, not a curated record.
AGCUCCGCCCUGAGUCAUAGGCUAUAAUCGCGGCGGGGCGGGACCGUGGGAGGGAUCGGAGGCGGGGAUUUGCCACCCGCCCCUCCUUCUCAUCUUUUCCCGGCUGUCCCUCCCUGCAGCUGUCCUGUUUGCGGCCCCGGACGUCCCGGGGCCUGUGCGUCCCGCCGUCAGUGGGCGCGCACCGGUGUCCUUGUGCACCCAGGCUGGUUUUGGUCUCCACACUCACCGCAAUUCCUUCGUGCCGCGUGGAAUGUCCCGGGGCUGGCAGUCCGAGGGUCGGGCGCAUGUUGCACAGCCUCUGUGACUUCUCCGGAGUUCUGGAAUGCUGAUCUGACGUCACAACAAAGUGCUGUGGAAACUCACCUGCCUGCUUAGAAACACGGAAGAACAAAGGAAUGAAGUGAUGUCUAUGACCGUGGCCUUCUCCAGGAUAGACACUUUCACACCGUGAUUAGCCUUAAAACAUAAAACUUAAAA